GACGAACGCUGGCGGCGUGCUUAACACAUGCAAGUCGAACGGACAGACGCGGCUCUUGCGGGGUGCUCGAGUGGGGAAGGGGUGAGUAACACGUGAGUAACAUGCCCUUGUCUUUGGGAUAUAUUUAGGAAACUGGGGCUCAUACCGGAUAGGAGCUCUUGCUGCAUGGUGGUGGAUGGAAAGUUUCGGCGGUUGGGGCUGGUCUGGCAGCUUCUCCGCUUGUUGGGGGGGUAGUGGAUUACCAAGCCUUUGACGGGUAGCCGGCCUGAGAGGUGGACCGGCGACAUUGCGACUGAGAGACGGCGCAGACGCCUACGGUAGGCAGCAGUGGGGAAUAUGACACAGUGGGCGGGAGUCUGAGACAGCAGCGCCGCGUGCGGGAUGACGUCCUUCGGGGUGUAAACCGCUUUCGCCGGAGACGAAGCGUGAGUGACGGUAAUGGGUAAAGAAGCACCGGCUAACUACGUG
RNAcentral lists this ribosomal RNA (468 nucleotides) under uncultured bacterium. RNAcentral's name for it is "partial 16S ribosomal RNA". It matches the Rfam family "Bacterial small subunit ribosomal RNA", at positions 28 to 507 of the family's 1533-position model. The record is from RNAcentral.